This 429-nucleotide ribosomal RNA is filed under the name Acidobacteriota bacterium. Its description in RNAcentral is "Acidobacteria bacterium partial 16S ribosomal RNA". It matches the Rfam family "Bacterial small subunit ribosomal RNA", at positions 355 to 776 of the family's 1533-position model. The record is from RNAcentral. Lineage: Bacteria; Pseudomonadati; Acidobacteriota.
UGGGGAAUUUUGGACAAUGGGGGAAACCCUGAUCCAGCCAUCCCGCGUGUGCGAUGAAGGCCUUCGGGUUGUAAAGCACUUUUGGCAGGAAAGAAACGUCAUGGGUUAAUACCCCGUGAAACUGACGGUACCUGCAGAAUAAGCACCGGCUAACUACGUGCCAGCAGCCGCGGUAAUACGUAGGGUGCAAGCGUUAAUCGGAAUUACUGGGCGUAAAGCGUGCGCAGGCGGUUCGGAAAGAAAGAUGUGAAAUCCCAGAGCUCAACUUUGGAACUGCAUUUUUAACUACCGGGCUAGAGGGGGUGAGAGGGAGGUGGAAUUCCGCGUGUAGCAGUGAAAUGCGUAGAUAUGCGGAGGAACACCGAUGGCGAAGGCAGUCCCCUGGGAUAACACUGACGCUCAUGCACGGAAGCGUGGGGAGCAAACAGG